Molecule: long non-coding RNA, 291 nt
Organism: Priapulus caudatus
Lineage: Eukaryota; Metazoa; Priapulida; Priapulimorpha; Priapulimorphida; Priapulidae
Exons: 2
Source: RefSeq, a predicted model, not a curated record
CAUUAUAGAUAUCAAGUUGGGAACACUCUUAUAGGAGGGUAAGCCAUAUUUUGUGCUUGGAUAAGAUUGUACGUAGUGGUGAUGCGCUGUAAUCUAUUCGAUUAGACACGGCUAGCAUUGUAAUUUUCGCAGUUGUUUUUUUUGCACAAUAUGCUAUUAUCCAACAUGAAUAAUGUCACUUGUAUGCUAUAUAAUUUCUUAGAAUACAACGAAAUACGGACGUUUUGUCAUUUAAAGCUUGUUUAGAAUGCAUUGAAUUAGAAUUAAAAUUAAAAGUUUUUACUCAACGCA